RNAcentral lists this ribosomal RNA (391 nucleotides) under Escherichia coli. RNAcentral describes it as "partial 23S ribosomal RNA". It matches the Rfam family "Bacterial large subunit ribosomal RNA", at positions 1 to 431 of the family's 2925-position model. The record is from RNAcentral. Lineage: Bacteria; Pseudomonadati; Pseudomonadota; Gammaproteobacteria; Enterobacterales; Enterobacteriaceae.
GGUUAAGCGACUAAGCGUACACGGUGGAUGCCCUGGCAGUCAGAGGCGAUGAAGGACGUGCUAAUCUGCGAUAAGCGUCGGUAAGGUGAUAUGAACCGUUAUAACCGGCGAUUUCCGAAUGGGGAAACCCAGUGUGAUUCGUCACACUAUCAUUAACUGAAUCCAUAGGUUAAUGAGGCGAACCGGGGGAACUGAAACAUCUAAGUACCCCGAGGAAAAGAAAUCAACCGAGAUUCCCCCAGUAGCGGCGAGCGAACGGGGAGGAGCCCAGAGCCUGAAUCAGUGUGUGUGUUAGUGGAAGCGUCUGGAAAGGCGCGCGAUACAGGGUGACAGCCCCGUACACAAAAAUGCACAUACUGUGAGCUCGAUGAGUAGGGCGGGACACGUGGUA